CGUCUUGGUUAUUGAUGUUAAGUGCUUGCAUUUAACUGAUUUCACAUUGAGACGAGUGGCGAACUGGUGAGUAACACGUGGGUAACCUGCCCUUGAAGUAGGGGAUAACACUUGGAAACAGGUGCUAAUACCGUAUAACAACCAAAACCACCUGGUUUUGGUUUAAAAGAUGGCUUCGGCUAUCACUUUAGGAUGGACCCGCGGCGUAUUAGCUUGUUGGUAAGGUAACGGCCUACCAAGGCAAUGAUACGUAGCCGACCUGAGAGGGUAAUCGGCCACAUUGGGACUGAGACACGGCCCAAACUCCUACGGGAGGCAGCAGUAGGGAAUCUUCCACAAUGGACGAAAGUCUGAUGGAGCAACGCCGCGUGAGUGAUGAAGGGUUUCGGCUCGUAAAACUCUGUUGUUGGAGAAGAACAGGUGUGAGAGUAACUGUUCACAUCUUGACGGUAUCCAACCAGAAAGCCACGGCUAACUACGUGCCAGCAGCCGCGGUAAUACGUAGGUGGCAAGCGUUGUCCGGAUUUAUUGGGCGUAAAGCGAGCGCAGGCGGUUUCUUAGGUCUGAUGUGAAAGCCUUCGGCUUAACCGGAGAAGUGCAUCGGAAACCAGGAGACUUGAGUGCAGAAGAGGACAGUGGAACUCCAUGUGUAGCGGUGAAAUGCGUAGAUAUAUGGAAGAACACCAGUGGCGAAGGCGGCUGUCUGGUCUGUAACUGACGCUGAGGCUCGAAAGCAUGGGUAGCGAACAGGAUUAGAUACCCUGGUAGUCCAUGCCGUAAACGAUGAGUGCUAAGUGUUGGAGGGUUUCCGCCCUUCAGUGCUGCAGCUAACGCAUUAAGCACUCCGCCUGGGGAGUACGACCGCAAGGUUGAAAC
This 876-nucleotide ribosomal RNA is filed under the name uncultured bacterium. RNAcentral describes it as "bacterial SSU rRNA". It matches the Rfam family "Bacterial small subunit ribosomal RNA", at positions 43 to 900 of the family's 1533-position model. The record is from RNAcentral.